RNAcentral lists this ribosomal RNA (1521 nucleotides) under metagenome. Its description in RNAcentral is "bacterial SSU rRNA". It matches the Rfam family "Bacterial small subunit ribosomal RNA". The record is from RNAcentral.
AGAGUUUGAUCAUGGCUCAGAUUGAACGCUGGCGGCAGGCCUAACACAUGCAAGUCGAACGGUAACAGGAAACAGCUUGCUGUUUCGCUGACGAGUGGCGGACGGGUGAGUAAUGUCUGGGAAACUGCCUGAUGGAGGGGGAUAACUACUGGAAACGGUAGCUAAUACCGCAUAACGUCGCAAGACCAAAGAGGGGGACCUUCGGGCCUCUUGCCAUCAGAUGUGCCCAGAUGGGAUUAGCUAGUAGGUGGGGUAACGGCUCACCUAGGCGACGAUCCCUAGCUGGUCUGAGAGGAUGACCAGCCACACUGGAACUGAGACACGGUCCAGACUCCUACGGGAGGCAGCAGUGGGGAAUAUUGCACAAUGGGCGCAAGCCUGAUGCAGCCAUGCCGCGUGUAUGAAGAAGGCCUUCGGGUUGUAAAGUACUUUCAGCGGGGAGGAAGGGAGUAAAGUUAAUACCUUUGCUCAUUGACGUUACCCGCAGAAGAAGCACCGGCUAACUCCGUGCCAGCAGCCGCGGUAAUACGGAGGGUGCAAGCGUUAAUCGGAAUUACUGGGCGUAAAGCGCACGCAGGCGGUUUGUUAAGUCAGAUGUGAAAUCCCCGGGCUCAACCUGGAACUGCAUCUGAUACUGGCAAGCUUGAGUCUCGUAGAGGGGGGUAGAAUUCCAGGUGUAGCGGUGAAAUGCGUAGAGAUCUGGAGGAAUACCGGUGGCGAAGGCGGCCCCCUGGACGAAGACUGACGCUCAGGUGCGAAAGCGUGGGGAGCAAACAGGAUUAGAUACCCUGGUAGUCCACGCCGUAAACGAUGUCGACUUGGAGGUUGUGCCCUUGAGGCGUGGCUUCCGGAGCUAACGCGUUAAGUCGACCGCCUGGGGAGUACGGCCGCAGGGUUAAAACUCAAAUGAAUUGACGGGGGCCCGCACAAGCGGUGGAGCAUGUGGUUUAAUUCGAUGCAACGCGAAGAACCUUACCUGGUCUUGACAUCCACGGAAGUUUUCAGAGAUGAGAAUGUGCCUUCGGGAACCGUGAGACAGGUGCUGCAUGGCUGUCGUCAGCUCGUGUUGUGAAAUGUUGGGUUAAGUCCCGCAACGAGCGCAACCCUUAUCCUUUGUUGCCAGCGGUCCGGCCGGGAACUCAAAGGAGACUGCCAGUGAUAAACUGGAGGAAGGUGGGGAUGACGUCAAGCCAUCAUGGCCCUUACGACCAGGGCUACACACGUGCUACAAUGGCGCACACAAAGAGAAGCGACCUCGCGAGAGCAAGCGGACCUCAUAAAGUGCGUCGUAGUCCGGAUUGGAGUCUGCAACUCGACUCCAUGAAGUCGGAAUCGCUAGUAAUCGUGGAUCAGAAUGCCACGGUGAAUACGUUCCCGGGCCUUGUACACACCGCCCGUCACACCAUGGGAGUGGGUUGCAAAAGAAGUAGGUAGCUUAACCUUCGGGAGGGCGCUUACCACUUUGUGAUUCAUGACUGGGGUGAAGUCGUAACAAGGUAACCGUAGGGGAACCUGCGGUUG